GAUAAAGGGGUCAAACACAUAAUUAAAACUAGAAGAAGGCGCCGCAUUCAGCCGCCCCGAAGACUCCUACGAAAGACUCCCUAGUCUUUGUCCUGCUUGUCUUGCGAGGAUAAGCAAACGCUGAAGCUAGCGCUUCACUCGAUCUGUAGUUAAAUACUUCCUCGUUAGUGGAAGUCGGCUACGGCUGCGCUGACCACUCCUCCCUCGACAAAAACGUUGAUUGGCCUCGACAGAAACUCCUCAAAAUGCAAAACACCUAUUGCCUGACACUAUCAGUGAACAAUCACCAUGUGGCGUUUUGAAAAACUGAGUUUAAGGAUUCAAGUCUUAUUUGAUUCAGAAGUGAAGGCAAAACAGAUCAGGUCAAACCUAGCAGAGUACAGUACAGUCUAGAGCACCAACUGGCGCUAAAAAAGUGAAAGAGUUUAAGCAAACUAGGAGCCAAGAUAACCUCAAACAGAGAGAACUGGCAGUAAAACGGCAAGAACUAAAGCAAAUCACCAAUCAAAUUAACUUAAGACACUAGAAUCAACAACAAAUUUAGCAGACUAGCUUGGUUUAAAGAAAAAGAUACUUAGUCCGAUUUCAGGUCGCCUGCAUGUCUGGAAGAGAUGCACGCUUUUAUCUUGCUUUUAUUUUUGCUGACCCUUUCACUCUUUCUCGCCUCACCCAUUUUUAGUUAUCUUUCUGGGCAGAGAAUGUAAUGGUGGUCUGGGGUGCCUCCUCCCUUUUUGUCUUUAUUUCUGCAUAAGAAGGUAUCUCUGCAAUAUACACCGUCAUUAUCGCAUCAAAGACAUUUUGUGCAUGCUUCCAGUUUUUUAAACGGAUUUCUUUUCAGGUAGCUUCAGCCCUUUCAACUUCCUACAAAAGAUGUUACUACUGUGUCCACUUGCCACACACACACACACCACAUACAUCAUCCAACUCUCCUUUCUUUGUGGUUCUUGUUGAAGCAUAUUUACGAUAAUUUAUUUUCUGGACGGUCUAAUUUCUCCAUCUUCUCCACAAUCUUUAGCUGUUCAAGCCCCUCUAGGAUUUCUUUUUAUUUAUGAGCAUGUCAAAGUGAUUGUCUGAAGUGACAUCAUUUGCAGGGUUGACCAUAAACAACCCUAUCCAGCCAAUAGCCAGUCUCUUUUUAUAGAGUCAGGUAACUCACUCUCAAUAGAUUUAUUACCAGUGGAUUAUUUAUGGCUCUGGAGUUUCCCAGCUCUGUGGGAUCUUCUAUGGCCCUCUCCACAGACUGGAUGAGGUCAAUGACUUCCCUUGGCUGGUUCCAUUUGUUCUGCAAUUCUCCGUGCAGUUACAAAUUCAGCUGUUCCAUGUCUAAGCCUGUUGCUAGCUGUUCUCAGAUUAUUUACUCUGCUGUCUAGUUCAUCCUUUGCUAGCUCAGGGAUCCAUCGCUUCAAAGUUGACAUCACUGGUGUGAGCUCCUUUAUCAGCUUCUCUGAGAGGGUCAGAUAUACUUAACACAUAGCAUUCCAAGUUGGUACUUAACAAGUACCAACUUCACAGGCUUUUUCGGCUUUGAAGAUUGACAUUUUGAGUUAAUUAAUUCCAUACCUUGACCACUGUCACACAUACGCCCACAUAAUAGUUUAUUUUUCAUCUUCACUGCAUGUUCACUAACUCUCAUGUCAUUUCAGAUCCUCCCACCUUGUCACCUGAUUUCCUGCACCUGGUUCUCCUCACCCUCACCUGUGGUGCCUCCCCUCAUUUAUCUGCCUGUCUGUUUGCCAUCCUGGUUCUGACCCUGCCUGUCCUCGUCUGCGGAUUACCUGCCUGCCCCUCUGGAAUUGUUUGCCUCUCGACGGAUCUCCCGGUUUUGGACUCAGCCUGAACUUUCAUUAAAACCCCUCUGUCUUGUCCAUCGUGUCAGAGUCGUGCGUUUGGGUUCUCCUGUACUCCGGUACCAGUAACCGUGACAGUACAAUCUGGCCAGACAUGAACCCAGCACGUACCGAGCCCGAAACCCCGACCCCAAGCAACAUGUCGCAACGCCAUGAGCAGCAGCUCCACUUUAUGGCUGAGGCCAUGCAGUCAAUGUCGGCCCGCCAUGAGAGCAGCAUGGAGUCCCUCCGCGACCACCUGCGGAACCUCGCCGCAGUGACGCGUACUCCGGACGUCACUUCCGCUGCUACCCAAGUACCCCCCCCGCUCCGAUGUCCGACGCACGUCUUCCUCCCCCCGAGCGUUGUUCCGGUGCUCCCGGUUCCUGUCGACCGUUCCUGGUACAGUGCUCGCUCGUCUUCGAGCUCCAGCCGUCCGCGUUUCCAACGGAGAGGUCCCGGGUAGCGUACAUUGUUUCCUUGCUCACGGGGAGAGCAAGGGAUUGGGAAACGGCCGAAUGGGCUAAGCAGACUUCUAUAUGCUCCUCCGUCGUGUCGUUUUCCGCGGCGAUGCAGAGGGUUUUUGAUCAUGCCACUCCCGGACGGGAGGCGGCCGGGGACUGUUUAGGCUGCAGCAGGGAAGGCGAUCCGUUUCCGACUAUUCCAUUGACUUUCACACCAUGGCAGCGGAGAGUGACUGGAACCAAGCCUCCCUUCGCGAUGCCUUCUACCACGGAUUAUCCAGCCGCGUAAAGGACGAAUUGGCAGCUCGGGAUCUCCCUGCUGGUUUAGACGAGUUGGUCGCUCUCUCCAUUCGGAUUGACGGCCGUCUGCGGGAGAGGAGAGAGGGUCGCUUACGCAGUUUUAGGAUCACCGCCGCGCAAGUUGCAGGAACCUCGGCGGGCACCAACCGAGGGUGGACCUGAUGAGUCUAUCGCCGGACCCAGGGCCGUUUGAAGGAAUUUGGGGGCCCCAAGCAAAAUGGACAUGGAGGCCCCUCCAAGCCCCCGCCGCGCGCACGCAAAACCUACAGGAACCACAGCACAGCCAUAAAGUUCACCCACACUUUAUAGAAAUAAAGGGUUUACAGUGCAUAAACCUAAUGUGCAUGAAAUUUGAACAUUUAACAAUUUAACAUUUGCACACUACCAUAAAAUCAAAUAUACAUUAAAGUGCACAAUAACUAAAUCCAACAUACUUAAACACACACACAUAUACAUUCACACUAACAUUUUUCAGUUCUCACAAACAUGUGCAAAUUAUCUAAAACUGCCGUUUGCGAGCCUUGUUUUGUGCAAAGGCAAUCACAAUGUCCUCCAUGUCCAAAGUCUGGCGAACAUCGCGCUCCAGUCCUGUGAGCCUUUCUUGGUCCAUGGUGGACCUCCAUGUAAUUUUUUAUCAGCUUUUAUAGCUGAAAAGCUCCUCUCACCAGAGGCCACAGACACAGGGAGAGUCAGGAGUGGACGCAAAGCAAUGCUUAAAUUACUGUACAAAUCCAGUAGCUUCUCACUGUAUAUGUAAUUAACCAUGUCAAAUGGGGAAGUGGCUACGUGGUCUGGAAAAGUGUAGAGCGAUGAAUUGAUCUCAAGUGCCAAUUCAUCAGCAUCAAUGUUAUGGAGAGUUUGUUCCAAUUUUUUGCAUCGUUCAUGAAACUUUCCAUUCUUUAUUGUCUGCUUCAUGUUGUCCUUUGAGAACAGAAAGUCAUAAAGGUCAUAAACACCCUUCAAUCUUGAAAACCUGUCACUUAGGCUUCUGAGGGCUGUGUCAACCAUGGGCAGAAAGAAGUCUCUACUGAAAGUCUCGUCUGGAGUAGACUGAGUGUCCUCUGUACCUUCAUAUAGAGACAGUUUUUUCUUUUUACGCGGCCUUUUUUCAGGAAGGGUCAUUUCCAUAUCCAGAUUUUCUGCAAUGUCUUUUGCAUCAGUUUGACAGGAAGCAAUCCCAUUUUCCCUUCUUCAAGGUAGUCUUUUAUUCCUUCCGUAUCUGAUCUGAGUGUUUCCAUGGAAACAUUUUGACUUUGUAGCAGCUUGCUGACAUGAUUGAUCUGGUACAACACAUUGUACCAGGUCAUUGUGCAAAGCAGAAAAGACCUGGGCCCGUAUCCCUAAAGAAUUUUUGUGCAAAAAGUGGCUCCUAGCGGCCAAAUUCUCAGAGUCAUGACGUUUUCUUAGAAUUUCCCCUAAAAGUGACACGAAAAUCCCAGUUAAUAUUAAAGCUAUUCCUCAAGAUUCCUAGUGCUUAAAAGGGCUCCUAAGGCGAGAUCUGCUAAGAGCAGGGAAGAGGACGUUUAGUGGCUUAAGAGUUCCCCUUAACAGCUGCACAAAAUGACCAACACAGGAGGCAGGAGAGAUGUCCUGCAAACACUGACAGGGUGAUGACAGGGAAUUAUUGAGACGCUACAGAUUGGAUCGUGCAGGAAUCAUGUUUGUGGUGGAUCUCCUUAGAGAUGCAAUUACUUCACCAACUCGACGCCACAACGCUAUUACACCGGAGAAGAAAGUAAUCACAACCCUGAGGUAUUUGGCAACAGGGAAAUUGCAACAAUGCAGCAGGGCCCACAAGACAACAAGAGCGGUGGUGGAGCGUGGCAUAGGCCAGCUUAAGAGGCGCUUUCAUAUUCUCCACGGAGAGGUGCGGCUGAGGCCUGAAAAAGUCAGCAAAGUCAUCAUAGCCUGUGCAAUAUUACACAAUAUUUGCAAGGUUAGACAGAUUGCAGAAACUCUGGAGGAUGGCGAUGAGGAUGGUGGUGAAGAAGAUAUUCACAUUCCACAGGGAAACCUAGCCCAGAGUGGACUGCCUUACAGGGCAAACAAAUUUACAUUUCAGGCAAGCUGUAGCCCCAUGUCAUUUGAGAACUUGUGAUGGUAUUAAGAACUUCCACAGUUUUACUGCACAUCACCUGCAAUUGUUAAAUGCAAGACACAGAACACAAUCUCUAAAUGGUUUCUUUUUUAGCUGUUCAAUUUUAAGGCGGUAGUACUCCUCCUGAAGGGAAAGGACUUUUUCUUGUUGUUCAAACGCAUCAAUUGUGAGUUGCAAUCUUCUCUCCUGCAGGGAUGCUGACGGAGCAGGUGCUGCGGAUGGGAAUGGUGUUUGAUCCGCCGGGCUAUCCUGAGUAGCAGCUGCAGAUGGUUCAGGCGUCAAUCUUGUCAGCAAACUUCAUGGGCCCAGUUCUUGUGAUGGCUCCAUGCUACAUAAAUACAUAGGCCUAGUUUAAUUAUUGUUUUGAUCAAAUUAAUUUAAUACAAUGAGCAUGGAUAACACAUGAAAUGGCUUCUGCAAUGAAUAAACACUGUUGAUAUGAAUAA
Gasterosteus aculeatus aculeatus (three-spined stickleback) is the source of this 5134-nucleotide non-coding RNA. The record is from RefSeq and is a predicted model, not a curated record. Lineage: Eukaryota; Metazoa; Chordata; Actinopteri; Perciformes; Gasterosteidae.